RNAcentral lists this ribosomal RNA (406 nucleotides) under uncultured bacterium. RNAcentral's name for it is "partial 16S ribosomal RNA". It matches the Rfam family "Bacterial small subunit ribosomal RNA", at positions 28 to 526 of the family's 1533-position model. The record is from RNAcentral.
GUUGAACGCUGGCGGCAGGCCUAACACAUGCAAGUCGAACGAGUAGCGGACGGGUGAGUAGUGUCGGGGAAACUGCCUGAUGGAGGGAGAUCAGUACGGGAAACGGUAGCUACUAACGCAUACCAUACGUUCUGCCCUGAUGGGAUUCGCUUGUUGGUGGGGUAACGGCUCACCAAGGCGACGAUCCCUAGCUGGGCCGAGAGGAUUAACAGCCACACUGGAACUGAGACACGGUCCAGAUUCCUACGGGAGGCAGCAGUGGGGAAUAUUGCACAAUGGGCGAAAGCCUGAGGCAGCCAGGCCGCGUGUAUGAAGAAGGCCUUCGGGUGGUAAAGUACUUUCAGUGGGGAGGCGUUACCCGCAGAAGAAGCACCGGCUAACUCCGUGCCAGCAGCCGCGGUAAUAC